GCGCCGACAAUAAUGUUUUCCCAAACAAGCUUGUGGCGUGGCGGUGGCGGUGGCGACGGUGGACAUCCAAGACUCGUCAUUACGGCGGCAGUUUCACAGUAGCACGAUUGAGAUAAAUGAAGCAAUUGAAGUCAAAUUGGAGAUUGCAAAUCGACCUGCAAAAAGUGCGGUGGGUGGAGAGGAAUGUCCGAUUCAGUUAAGGCCGUGAAUUUGGGAUAGAGGUAGUGGGAGAUGUUGAAAGGGCGCGACGGGAUGAUUGCCGAGUGUGUCAACACAAGGGAAAGGAAAAUUGUGAGCAAAAAUAGCGUCGAAUUUGGGGCAGUCAUCGAAUUAUUGAAUGUCGACU
This is a non-coding RNA of Salvia hispanica, 346 nucleotides long. The record is from RefSeq and is a predicted model, not a curated record. NCBI's taxonomy places the organism in Eukaryota, Viridiplantae, Streptophyta, Magnoliopsida, Lamiales, Lamiaceae.